UACGUACCGAACAAAUCGAAACGAAACGGGGGACAAAAAUACCGGCUGGAAAAUCAAUUGUGAAUCGUGUGCAGAUAAAGGGCAAUUGUUGUUAUCACGUUUUCGUCGGACGAAACGGAAGUACGUGUGUAUUUAUUGACCGGACGUCCACCCGGCGACGCGCUCGACGUUCGUCCACAAAAACCGAGUACACCUACCUGUAUCCAAAGCGCAUCCGAUAAACGAACUUACACAACCAAUACCGAACGCAAACCGUACCGGUACUAUUAAAACGUGCCAGCCGUUUAUCACAAACCGGUCACUUUAUCGGGAAAUUCG
Non-coding RNA from Cinara cedri, 318 nucleotides. NCBI's taxonomy places the organism in Eukaryota, Metazoa, Arthropoda, Insecta, Hemiptera, Aphididae. The record is from the annotation of a GenBank genome assembly.